This is an unclassified non-coding RNA of Papio anubis (olive baboon), 148 nucleotides long. It matches the Rfam family "Metazoan signal recognition particle RNA". Rfam says of the family: The signal recognition particle (SRP) is a universally conserved ribonucleoprotein. It is involved in the co-translational targeting of proteins to membranes. NCBI's taxonomy places the organism in Eukaryota, Metazoa, Chordata, Mammalia, Primates, Cercopithecidae. The record is from Ensembl.
GUUGGGCGUGGUGGUGCACGCCUGUAAUCCCAGUUACUUGGGAGGCUGAGGCAGGAGCAUCACUUGAACCCGGGAGGCAGAGGUUGCAGUGAGCCAAGAUGGCACCACUGUACUCCAGCCUGGGUGACAGAGUGAGACUCCGUCUCAA